ACCAGGCUGUCUCGUCAGGCUAAUGUUGCUCCCAUUACAGACAAAGCAUGGGCAUCCUGUAGCAUACCAACAGCAGAGCAGGGCAACACCAAGGGACUCGCUAACUCCACUAACUCCAGGAUGCCAAGACGUGUGUGUGUGUGUGUGUGUCAUGGGACACUUGUUUCACCAUGGAGUUCGGGAAGGUUAAUUUCAAUCUCAAAAUGUUGCUGCUGACAAUGAUGAUGUUCAAAUGGGAGUUCCCCUCCUGGAUGUACCGUCAUGAGAAAACAGUGAGCUAUACAGUGCCUACGACAUCGGGAGCUUCCACGGCACCAACUUCAGUAUCUCUUUUUUUUCCUGCUCUCACUGAAGCCCAAAGGCCUACUCUUCCAGCUGAGGCGACCCAGGGAGGACGGAGAAGUUGGCAUGGGGAGAGUCCUUCCCUGACCGAAAGCCAUGCACAGGGUGCAUCUGGACAUGGGCGUGUGGAACAGCAAACUGAAUAACUCAGGAGAGCUGUACAUCCCCACCAAUGCUGAGAAUGUAGAGCCUGGCUGUAUUAGCGAUGACACCUGCCAGUGACACUGACUCCGAAUGGGAGCCCCCAGUGCCAAGUUUCCAUCCCCCACUGAAGCUGGUUCAUCCAACUCCUGCCACAAGUGGUGUUCAUCUGCCCAAAUUUAUUUCUGCAGGCAUGGAUGUGCCUCAGGGCCAAAAGGCCACAGCAUGGAGGCGUCGCUGUGUUCUUUGCAAAAUGAAGUCCCCCAUCACCUGCACCAUAUGCUUGGUUACCCUCUGCUAUAUAGCAGCAAGAGACUGCUAUGGCAACUGGCAUCAGCAGCACAAUAUUGUGUAGAGGACAGAGGGUCUUCCAAAUAUUGAAAGUGUUAUUUUGUAAAUGUAUAUUUAUUUUUCCUGUUUUUUUCUCCAUUUUUUGAGGGGGUGUGUUAGAAUACCAUUUUGGUAUUUUGUAUAUAGUUAUUCCAUUCAAAAUGUAUAACUUCACCAAUUUGGCCACUUGGGUACAUUUGGGCUACUUGUGUGGGACACCUGGGUGACUUCAUGAUAAAUGUCAUGUAGCACACUCAUUUUGGAAGUUAUCAUUCUGAAACUUUGUACAAGUACUGUUGCCCUUUCACUGAAAUUGUCCCUGUCAUCCUAUCUGAAUGUUGUAUUGUAUUAUCUAAACCAGAUCUAUUGUGUUAUAUUCUCCUACAUUCAAUUCACAUUUACACAAACUUCAGAGUGUUUUCUUUCAAAUGGUACCAAGAAUAUGCAUAUCCUUGGUUCUGUGUCUAAGCUACAGGCAGUUAGAUUUGGGUAUGUCUUCAGGCGUAAAUUGAAAAAAGUAGGGGGUAGCUCUAAGAGGUUUAAUAUUCCAUACUGACCUAUGAUUAUCAACAUUAGAGUGAAAUAUUACAGACAUUAGGCGUAGGCAGUAAAUUUAAAUAAUGUCAACUGUAUCAAAAUUCGGAUUAAUAAAAACCUGCGAGACCUGCGAGACACGUGUCAAUGUCCAUUGUGUGGACCUGGCUGACGGAUAUGAGUGUGAGUAAAUAUUAAGCAAAUUCUUAGGUUGAAAGAAAAUAACUCAAGACUAGCAAAACUUCUUAGGGUGCUGACAGACAGUGCAUGGUGGACGGGGUCAGUGUUGCCAACUAAUUUUCAGGGUUAGUUGCUAAGAGGCAGGUUGAUUUGUUGCUAAAAGUUGCUAAAUUAUGUUCUGAAGUCAUUGCGUAAUAACGUAAGUCUACGUCAUUAUGUAGAAUACACAAUAACGUUGCUCAAAUUGACUGGCCAUCUCGACAAAAAAUAUGAUUUGACAUUUGUUCAGGUACAAGACUCCGACUCUUUUCUGUACUUCUGGCUGUACAAUUUUGACUGAGACAUGUUUUUGAUUGAUGUUGUAAGUUCAAGCAUUAGUGACAAACUAUAUUAAUUGGGUUUGGCAAGUUGAACCCGUACAAUGAUUUGCAAUUUGCUGAAAUUGCUGCUGGCCUUCUGCUGCCUGUGCACGAGCUGAGCGCCUGCUGCUGAUGUCACUCACAAUGUAUUUUUGCAGCCAGGUGUGUGUGACAGAGAAAAUAGUUUUUGUGUCAUAUAGAGGGAAACUGCAUGCAUUUUAGUGUUUGAGUCACUUUUCCAAAGUUGCUAAAAGUUCCAAAUACAUUUUUAAAAGUAGCAAAAUGUGUUGCUAGGUGCUGUUUGAAAAAAAGUUGCCAGGAGAGUCUGAAAAGUUGCUAAAUCUAUCAAUAAAAUUGCUAAGUUGGCAUCACUGGACGGGGGUGGGGAACGAAACAACAGCAGGACCAGCUAACUUGCCCACUAGCUAGCUAGGUGGCUAAUACUAUCAGUUUAUAGAGUUACGUUUAACAAUAAAAAUAAUUGUGAAUCCAUUUUUGGAUUAACAAUUGCUGUUGUAUGUAAUGACGUUUGUAUGCAUGCUUAGGGUUUUAUAGUGAUAUUAUUUUGUUUAUUUUGUUGCUAUUAUCACCACCGACUUUCGCAUAGACUGUGUGCUGUCGCCUUGUGUGUGGCUCGGAUGACAAGUAGUGUACUGGGGGAGUGCUCUGCGAUAUUCUGCUGGCUGUCAGAAAAGCACUUUAGGGUUUCUUCACAUUUGCUUUCUUGCAAAAGCCUUAAAAAUAAAUAAAAAUGUGUGUAUCUGUCUUUGCAUGAAUGAAACAAUUCCCACACGCACAAAAUGUAUACUAGAUAGGUUUAUUAGUAUAUUAUAUAAUGUAAACUCACUCACUUUUGUACAUCGCCUUGGUCUGUACAAUUUACCUUAUUUUAGCGUCCCAAAAACGUAAUGUCAAUACAAUUGUAAAGCACAAUUUCUCCCCUUUCCAACAAAAUCAAUGACAUGAGCUCCCGCUGCCCGUUUCUGCAUAAUUCAAGAAGGCAAUGAGCUCCGUCGAGUCUUUUUAAAAAUGGCGGGUGGGGAAGAAAAACUAAUGCGUGAUAGUGAGAAGGACAGAUAUCGUGUGGGAAAACUUAUUUUUUUCACUCAAUCUGUCCAAUUUAUCACCUUAUUGCCUCUAAAAUGUAAAUAAAACAUGAUAAAGAGUUUAUAUAAUGUGUCAUUACAUACCUAUUUGAAGAUUUGUGUUGAAUUUGAAUCGGGCUUUUAGUGCGGUGCUAAAGUGAUCUUCAGAAGUGAACAGCGGCUUUGAGAGUCAUGAUGCUUGCAGUGAUGACGGAAAAAAUGAGUCGGUAUCCCCCUUACCCCCGUCACUGUCCAUUUCUUGUUUUUAAAUGAUGAGAGAAGUGCUACACCUGGUGGAGACAGAUUGUAAGACAGAAAUAGUUGCUUUAUGCGUGCUGUAAGUUACGGCAUCACACGUCAUGAUGUAACAGAGGGUCCGUUUUUUUCAACUUUUCUCCAAUACUAUAGAGCGAUUACCAUGCUGAUCAACGCUUGAAUAGAAACGUAGUUCACACCCCCUAUUUUGAAGUCAUCACAGUCACUACAGUCCCAUUAGUUUUCUUUGCAGCCUCGUUUGAAUGUCGCGGUUGUGCACAUUUGUACGGAAUGGGGUGAGUUUACGUUAUAUAGUGAGUUUUUGUUGUCUAAUGUCU
Oncorhynchus masou masou (cherry salmon) is the source of this 3564-nucleotide long non-coding RNA. RefSeq lists it as uncharacterized. Lineage: Eukaryota; Metazoa; Chordata; Actinopteri; Salmoniformes; Salmonidae. The record is from RefSeq and is a predicted model, not a curated record. The transcript is spliced from 3 exons.